UGUUCUGGAAAGGUCUAUCUGGCUGACGUAGGGGCAGGCUGGGUACCGGAGUGGCUAGGGAAUGGGGCUGGGACCCCGGGGAGGGGAGGGAGAGGAGCAGGCGGGGCAGCAGGGAGCGUGGGGAGAGAGCCCGGCCCACCUGGGCUGGGGGCAGGAGGGAGGGGGAGGGCUCUUGGGAUCCGGCCAGGGUGGUCUCUGAGGCUGGUUGAGGGUCAGGAACACGACCAGGAAGGAAGGAGGCCCCUAUGUCCAGCGUGGGUCACCCCAAGGACUCGGCAGGAGGGGCCACCAUGCGAAUCCCAUGGGAUCACGCAGCACCUGCAACCCUGAGGCCCUUAAACUAGGACCCUGGAGUCCCCGCCGCUUCCGAGCCUGUCCUCCCAAGGCCCAUGCUCCCAGGUCUCGGUGUCCUUAUGGCGACAGCGUAUUUGUCAAGGAAGGAGGACAGAGCGUGUUUUAUUCAGCAGUUUGUUAGCUGAGCCCCAGCCAGAAGGUGAAUCACAGGGGGCCCUGCUGCUUCCCGCCCCACUUUGCACCCCCAGGGCGCCACCGUCCCCGCCUUUGUCUGAGGGACCUCUGCCUCCCUCAAAGCCGGACCGAAGCCUCUCUGGAGGCCCUGGGUGGCUCUCAGCUUGGCACUGGUUUUAUGUGAUUACAGCAGCCUGUGCCGUGGUCUGGCCGGCCAGGCAUCGAUCGUGUCCCUGCAGCAGGAAGUGGGCCCCUCCGUGGGCGCUGUGGGCUUGCUCGGGCUCGGGGUCCCAGCUCUGGGACUCUCGCUGUGCGUCCUUGGGAAGCCGCUCUGCAGCUCUGAGCUGGUUUUCUCCCCCCCCCGCAAUCUCAUAAUAAUAACCGCACCUCUUGCAGCGCGGAGGCAAAAUGUGCAGCGCGGAGCCCACGUGCACCCGACGCUUGGCAGGCGCCGAGGAAUCAGGGAGGCCACGAGUGACAUCAUCCGCUGCUGUUUACAGCUGAGCAAACACGCCGGGCUCAGCGAGGUGGCACGGUUGCCCAAGGUCACACAGCCCGGAGGAGCAGGGGGCCCACACCGGGGCGAUGCGACCUAGGGGCUAACCGGUGGAGGCUCCGACCGCCUGCCUGCCCCGCCCCGCGCACCCCGCCCACCCCCGUGGGCCUCGGGCGCCCGAAGCCACGUGAAGGCAGCCGAGGCUGCAGGAGCAGCGCAGGGCUCGUCACGGAAGGGGUUAACGCUCCCGCCGCAUUGGGCCGGCCUCCGUGGGAAGCAGCCAAUGGGCGCGUGGGGCGAAGAGGGUCUCGCACUGGAGCCUGGGUUGGCCUUGAACUUGUGGCGAUCCUCCUGCCUCAGCCCCCCCAAGUGCAGGAUGACUGGCAUGUGCCACCUCGCCUGGCUUCAAGCUCAGCUGUUAAAUGGGAAGAACAGAAGCUGCCCCUGGGCUGCGACAUCAGGCCGACCAGGUGCUUUUGGGGAGAGUGCCAUCUGGGGCACCCCAGGGAACAGCGGGUGCCACAAGGCACCUGCCCAGGGCUCCAUUUAGUGUUUUGGAGACGGAUUCCAGGUGUCCCGUUUGGGUGGGGGUGGGGAUGGAGCGCCUCGGGUAUAACACGCACAGGAGGGACCCUCCUGGUGACAGAAGUGGUCUGGACUUUGGCUGGGGUGAGGGUUGCCCUGGCCAGGAUCCCCUACAGGAAGCCACAUCCAGGCAGAAGUAAAGCAGAGGAGUCAGAGAGGUGGGGGUGGGUCAGUGCCACAUCCUGGAGUUGAGGGUGGCACUGCACUGCCAUGCACUGCAUCAUUUCUGACAGCCACAUGUGCAUCUACAGUGGUCUCCGGAAAACUUUCAGGCCAGGUGUGCUGAUGCACACUUGUAAUCCAAGCACUCAGGAGGCUGAGGCAGGAGGAUCAUUGUGAGUUCCAGCUGGAGCUACAUAGCAAGACCCUGUCUACAAAAAUAACAAAAAUAUGUACAAACAUAAGGUAUGACAUAAACUCCACAUAGCUCUUUUUUUUUUUUUUCUGGAACCAGGGCUCGAACUCAGGUCCUUGUGGUUGCAAGGCAGGCGGCGGAACCACUGAACUAAAUCCCUGGCCCCACAUAGCUCUUACACAACCAUAAACCAAGGCAAAUUGAUCAGUCAAAUGCAAAAUCAAGCUGGGGAUGUAGCUCAGUGGUGCCGUGCCUGCCUGGCAAGCACACAGUUCUGAGUUCGAUCCCUAGUACCGAAAAAAAAAGCGAACUCAAUUCAAAUCAGAGUAAUCACAUGUGACAUGUUACUUCUUUUGUUUGAAACCCUGUCACUGCCCACAGUGUAGAUAUGGCCCAGCUGCCAGGGUGCUCUGAGUUGGUGAGAGAGUGGCUGGCCUUACACACACACACACGUGCACACGCAUACACACACACAGAGCAGGUGAUUUUUCCUCAGAAUACAUAAAGAAUUCCUACCAAUUAAUAAGAAAAAGGCAGACUUCUCGAGAAAAAUAGGGGGGAAACUUGAAUUAGUAAGUCUGGUGAUGCACCCCUGUCAUCCCAGCACUCAGGAGGCUGAGGCAGGAGGAUUGUAGUGAGUUUGAGGCCAGCCUGGGCUACAAAGUGAGACCCUGUCUCAAAACCAAACAGUUCUCCACAAGCAGGAUAUCCACAUGGUGCACCCCUGUGACCCCAGCACUCAGGAGGCUGAGGCAGGAGGAUCACAAGUGCAAGUUCAGCCUGGUAACUUAGUGACUUGGUGAGACUCUGUCUCAAAAUAAAAAAAAGGAAUGGGGAUGGGCCUCAGGGUGGGGGCCCACAGAAACCAAACAAGAAACCAGAAGUGAGCGGGGACAGUCACAUUGGCACUAUUCAGGGGAGUCCUACAUGAGAAGGAAUCAAUCCCAGUCCCUCUCCAUGGGACAGGCGAUAAACAAAGGUGGCUGGUCAGCUUUGAGAACAAAUCUCACAGUCAUAAUCCAAAGGAUUUCAUUUACCCGAGGGACAAAAGGAGCCAAGACAGUCGGGGUGUGAGAGAUCAGGGAGGGGUCGCCUGCCACCAGGCAGGAGGGGUGGUGCUCCAGGGCCCAAACGCCUGAGGUCAGGAGUCCCUGGAAACAGCUCUGUCCACAAGGCUCUGGGCCCCACUUCGAGCAGAUGUGGAGUGUGCCCUGGGGGCCCAGGUGUGGGGUGAGGGGAGCAGAAGGGAGGGCCAGGUCCCCGGUGCUCUUUCCCUGCCCAGCACUUGUAAUGUGGGCCUGACCCAGGCUUUUUCUGCCGCAGCCCCUGGGCCCGGCCUCUUCCCACACCAGAGCCUGCUGCCCACACUCAGGGUUCUCAGGGGAGCUGGAGGAAAGGCCUCAUCCACAUCCUGAGGCCAGGGCGGUAGGUGCCCAGCGAGAGUGGCUCUGGGGAACACAGGGUGCCUGGUGCCUUAGGCACCUUCCCUCCCUGGACUCAGUACCUGACGCCACAGUGUAAAGGAGAGAUUUAUAGGGGCCGGGGAUUUAGCUCAGUGGUUUUGCUGCCUGCUGCGCAAGCGCAAGGACCGGAGUUCAGUCCCCCGUACCAAAAAAAAAAAAAAAAAAAAAGAAGAGGUUUAUUUUCGCUUGAGGUUUAUUUUCGCUUAUAGUUUCAGUCUGUGGGUGGCCAGUUCCAAGGCAGAGCAGCAGGGCAGAAGGGCCUGGUGGAGGACACAUGCUCACUUCCUGGCGGCCAGGAAGCAGGGAGAGAAGGGAGGAGCAGGGAGAACAGCCUCUUCCAGGCCACUCCCCCAGUGGCCACCUCCGCGGAGGCCCCACCUCCUUCACAGUAUACUCGGCUAUGACCUCAGGCAUGCAGGAAUCCAUCGAUGAGUCCAGCUCCAUUGAUCCCAUCCGCUUGCACCUUACACACACAGGAGAAUUCUGGGGGACACUUCAGAUCCAAAUGUAACACCCAAUUGGCCCCUGCUGCUGACCCCAGACAACCUCAGGAAAGUUCAGCUCAAGCCACGGUUUGGAGACCUGACUGUAGGUGUUGGACCCCCUACCCCUGCUGUGGGACAUGCGAAGGUGGGUGGGUCACUUCCUGCUCCUAAAAAGUGGCCACAACCCCAGGCAGCUGGCAGGGACCAACAUGUCACUGGCAUCCGGCACAGGCCGACUGGAUGGAUGCUGAGUUCUGGAGGGGAUGCUGUGUGGGCGGCCAGCUCAGUUACAAGCUUUAGAGAAAACAGGACUCAUACUAGAAAUAAGCUCAAAUACCUGGGUGUGGAAGGACAUGCCUAUAAUCCUAGCACUCAGGAGGCUGAGGCAGGAGAGUCGGUGUGAGUUCAAGACCAGCCAGGCUCCACAGCGAGGCCUUGUCUCAGAAAAAGAAAACGCUAAGAAAAAUAAAACUGGCAUUUGUAUGUAUUCGCAUUUUACUAUUCCUUGUAUGUUUUGUCUAUAAACCUGAAAUUUUUCCUUUAACCUAAUGACCUUUAUUUAGUAUUUAUGCUUCAGUUCUGUUAACAAAUUAUCUAUUUCAUUUGUCCAAAAAAGUAAUUUCUAUUUUGAAAGAUAUUUUCACAGAUACCAUUCUAAGAUGACAAUUUUUUCUUUUAUUACUUAUUAGAUGCAGUUCCAUUGUCUUCUGA
RNAcentral lists this long non-coding RNA (4563 nucleotides) under Heterocephalus glaber (naked mole-rat). Its description in RNAcentral is "lncRNA (ENSHGLG00100042610.1)". Lineage: Eukaryota; Metazoa; Chordata; Mammalia; Rodentia; Bathyergidae. The record is from RNAcentral.